CCCUCAAAACUCAACAUUUCUUUCCGAGUCCCUCACAGCACGAAUAAAAUGCACGGAUACCCCUCCACAUGCGAUCUCACGCGAAACGGUACAUAAAAUAUCGCGACUUUCGCGAAAAUACCGUUUUGCCCUCACUGACCUCUCCUCGAUCAACGCGCAAUCUCCGCAGAUCCGUCCGUCAGAUUUGCGAACGGAUCGCACUAGUGCUAUCAGCACGAUGGAGACAACAAAGCUACGAUUUCGUUUCACCUCGAUCGACCACGGAUUCACGACAAAGUCCAACCUUUCUCGCCAACAGAGGAAACAACACGAAAAUCCAUAUAAAACAUGUAUUUUUGGAUUUUCUCGAAAUCCGU
Molecule: long non-coding RNA, 356 nt
Filed under: Ananas comosus (pineapple)
Lineage: Eukaryota; Viridiplantae; Streptophyta; Magnoliopsida; Poales; Bromeliaceae
Description: long non-coding RNA (ACOM_LNC032562)
Source: RNAcentral